UACGUAGGAUGCGAGCGUUAAUCGGAAUUACUGGGCGUAAAGCGUGCGCAGGCGGUUUUGUAAGCCAGAUGUGAAAUCCCCGGGCUUAACCUGGGAAUGGCAUUUGGGACUGCAAGGCUUGAGUGCGGCAGAGGAGACUGGAAUUCCUGGUGUAGCAGUGAAAUGCGUAGAUAUCAGGAGGAACACCGAUGGCGAAGGCAGGUCUCUGGGCUGACACUGACGCUCAUGCACGAAAGCGUGGGGAGCAAACAGG
This 253-nucleotide ribosomal RNA is filed under the name uncultured bacterium. Its description in RNAcentral is "partial 16S ribosomal RNA". It matches the Rfam family "Bacterial small subunit ribosomal RNA", at positions 524 to 776 of the family's 1533-position model. The record is from RNAcentral.